RNAcentral lists this ribosomal RNA (207 nucleotides) under uncultured bacterium. RNAcentral's name for it is "partial 16S ribosomal RNA". It matches the Rfam family "Bacterial small subunit ribosomal RNA", at positions 568 to 774 of the family's 1533-position model. The record is from RNAcentral.
UGCGUAGGCGGUUUACUAAGUCAGACGUGAAAGCCCCGGGCUUAACCUGGGAACUGCAUUUGAUACUGGUAGGCUAGAGUAUGAUAGAGGGGGGUAGAAUUCCUGGUGUAGCGGUGAAAUGCGUAGAUAUCAGGAGGAAUACCAGUGGCGAAGGCGGCCCCCUGGAUCAAUACUGACGCUGAGGUACGAAAGCGUGGGUAGCGAACA